This 460-nucleotide long non-coding RNA is filed under the name Mustela putorius furo (domestic ferret). RNAcentral's name for it is "lncRNA (ENSMPUG00000028881.1)". Lineage: Eukaryota; Metazoa; Chordata; Mammalia; Carnivora; Mustelidae. The record is from RNAcentral.
GGAGCCUACCAGUGUCACAUAAACCUCCUAUCCUCCAAGAUCUCCAAGUGCUACUUGGUUCAUCCCACGGGCGAUCCAGUCCAGGUUCCGUAAAAAGGAGACUAAAUGCAGAGAGAACACCCUACAGCUCUCAAAGACCGAAGACAAAAUUGUAAGGACCUGUUUAGCCAGAGGCUUCUAUCCACGUUAAACAAUAACCUUGUUGUUUAACCUUUAAACUGUCCCUGCUCUCCUUCCUCCAGGGUCCUGGAAACCAGCCCCAGGUAACAAAGCCCAGAUACAGGGGUGGGUCAGGCCAGGUGGACACAUCCGAUCAGUGGGGGGUUGCAUACUGUCUCCCUAGCUACCAAGGAGUAUGGGCCCUGCCCUUUGGGAGCCUUUUGGGUGCCAAUUCUGGCUAGGUCAAAUGUCUACUAUAGGGUAAAUUGUGAUUCAGUUGGUCAUCUAGCAUCACUGUGCC